AGGGCUAGUCCAGUCCCGACCAACUGUCGGAAUUCACUCGCCUAAAGGUUAUGGCAAAACCUUAGAGUAUCAAGGAAACUCUUAAGAACCUCUCUAAGCAUUAAGGCUACUUCGCUUAGGAACCAGUCUUUUACGGGUAGACUCACACCUUAGUGUAUCAAGGGCACUCUUAAGAACCUCUAACUUUUGCAGGUAAGUUAGUACCUUAGAGUAUCAAGGAACUCUUAUAAACCUCUCUAAGUUUUAAGGCUACUUCGCUUAGGAACCAUUCUUUUACGGGUAGAUUCACACCUUAGAGUAUCAAGGGCACUUUUAAGAACCUCUAACUUUUACGGGUAAGUUAGUACCUUAGAGCAUCAAGGAACUCUUAAAAACCUCUCUAAGCUUUAAAGCUACUUCGCUUAGGAACCAGUCUUUUACGAGCAGACUCACACCUUAGAGUAUCAAGGACACUCUUAAGAACCUCUAACUUUUACGGGUAAGUUAGUACCUUAGAGUAUCAAGGAACUCUUAAAAACCUCUGAAAUCUUUCAAGGUAGACUCGACCUAAGAGUUUUCCCGGAAACUCUAUAAAAUCAAACUAGAGCUUUAUGGUUGAGCUCAAAAACCUUCUCUCACACUUUGGUACUAUUGAGACAACCCUCUCAACCAAAGUGGACACACACAAGAGGUGAUUAGAGGAGUAGAAUAUUAAAGCAAACAACACUUCUUACUUGUAAAGAUGAACAAGAAGAUUAGAAGAAGAAGUUGGAGAGCUUUUGAAGCUUUGGAAAGCUAGGACACUUGAGCACUUGAAAGCUUGGAAGCUUGGAGGUAAAAACGUGUGGGCAAGUGUGGAGUGAAAGCUCUUGAGUUUGCUU
This 860-nucleotide long non-coding RNA is filed under the name Zostera marina. RNAcentral's name for it is "long non-coding RNA (ZMAR_LNC004256)". The record is from RNAcentral. Lineage: Eukaryota; Viridiplantae; Streptophyta; Magnoliopsida; Alismatales; Zosteraceae.